UUUCCGUAGGUGAACCUGCGGAAGGAUCAUUAUCGAACAAAAUGUGAGGGGCAUGCGCGGGCUGUCGCUGACCCAAAAGUCGUGCACGCCCGAGUGUGUCCUCUUGCAUAAUACUCCAUCACACCCUUGGUGCAUCACCGCGCGGACAUCCUUCGGGAUCAUCUCGGACGAGCGCACGCGUUUUCACACAAACUCACCCUUUAAAAGUGUAAAAUCACCACAUUCAUGCCAUCAAAAAAACCAUCAACAAGGGAGCUCAUGGCUCUCACAUCGAUGAAC
This 279-nucleotide unclassified non-coding RNA is filed under the name plant metagenome. Its description in RNAcentral is "partial contains small subunit ribosomal RNA, internal transcribed spacer 1, and 5.8S ribosomal RNA". The record is from RNAcentral.